ACUGGGGGUAGAGCACUGUUAAGGCUAGGGGGUCAUCCCGACUUACCAACCCUUUGCAAACUCCGAAUACCAGUAAGUACUAUCCGGGAGACACACGGCGGGUGCUAACGUCCGUCGUGGAGAGGGAAACAACCCAGACCGCCAGCUAAGGUCCCCAAUUAUAGCUAAGUGGGAAACGAUGUGGGAAGGCUUAGACAGCUAGGAUGUUGGCUUAGAAGCAGCCAUCAUUUAAAGAAAGCGUAAUAGCUCACUAGUCGAGUCGGCCUGCGCGGAAGAUGUAACGGGGCUAAGCUAUAAACCGAAGCUGCGGCAAUGAAGUUUACUUCAUUGGGUAGGGGAGCGUUCUGUAAGCCGUUGAAGGUGAGUUGUAAAGCUUGCUGGAGGUAUCAGAAGUGCGAAUGCUGACAUGAGUAACGAUAAAGGGGGUGAAAAACCUCCUCGCCGGAAGACCAAGGGUUCCUGUCCAACGUUAAUCGGGGCAGGGUAAGUCGACCCCUAAGGCGAGGUCGAAAGGCGUAGUCGAUGGGAAACGGGUUAAUAUUCCCGUACUUCUUACAAUUGCGAUGGGGGGACGGAGAAGGCUAGGUGGGCCUGGCGACGGUUGUCCAGGUUCAAGUGUGUAGGCUGAAGAGUUAGGUAAAUCCGGCUCUUCUUAAGGCUGAGACACGACGUCGAGCUACUACGGUAGUGAAGUCAUUGAUGCCAUGCUUCCAGGAAAAGCCUCUAAGCUUCAGAUUGUAAGGAAUCGUACCCCAAACCGACACAGGUGGUCGGGUAGAGAAUACCAAGGCGCUUGAGAGAACUCGGGUGAAGGAACUAGGCAAAAUGGUACCGUAACUUCGGGAGAAGGUACGCUCUCGACGGUGAAGUCCCUCGCGGAUGGAGCUAUUGAGAGUCGCAGAUACCAGGUGGCUGCAACUGUUUAUUAAAAACACAGCACUGUGCAA
This 947-nucleotide ribosomal RNA is filed under the name Vibrio rotiferianus. Its description in RNAcentral is "partial 23S ribosomal RNA". It matches the Rfam family "Bacterial large subunit ribosomal RNA", at positions 895 to 1828 of the family's 2925-position model. The record is from RNAcentral. Lineage: Bacteria; Pseudomonadati; Pseudomonadota; Gammaproteobacteria; Vibrionales; Vibrionaceae.